This 401-nucleotide long non-coding RNA is filed under the name Equus caballus (horse). RNAcentral describes it as "lncRNA (ENSECAG00000051069.1)". Lineage: Eukaryota; Metazoa; Chordata; Mammalia; Perissodactyla; Equidae. The record is from RNAcentral.
CAGGUCCUAUCGAAGUCUAUUGUCUCCUGGAGCCCAGACCUCACAAUGUCCCAUUGUGACAAAUGCAAAGACAAGGUGGUUAAAUCCCAGUUUUCCAGAUCUCUGCCUUCAUUUUCAGUCUCCAGGACUCUACCCCUGAGGAUGGUUCUGCUCUCACUGCCUGGGCUGCCUCCCUGCUGGCUGUGUCCGUUCUUUGGAAGUGACUGUGCAAUACUUCAUCCUGUCCUGCCACCAUCAGUCCUCAUCCUUUACCUCUGCAAGUUACACCGAAGUUCUUCAGGUGGUAGCUGGAGCAUGACCAGAUGCUGCAGGUUAAUAAGGAAUGGGAAGACAACAACGGCGAAGCAGGAAAGACAGUAAAGAGGCUGCUGUAAUAGCCAGACAGGAGAUGGCAGUGUCCG